This 1487-nucleotide long non-coding RNA is filed under the name Medicago truncatula (barrel medic). RNAcentral's name for it is "lncRNA gene38120". The record is from RNAcentral. Lineage: Eukaryota; Viridiplantae; Streptophyta; Magnoliopsida; Fabales; Fabaceae.
UUGUAACAACUUGAUGCUUUCAAUUUCCAAAUGUACUUUCUCAUCUACAUAGUUUGGACAGAUUCACAUUUUCUGAUAAAUAGAAAAAGCUAAUUAAACCCAAAAUGUAAACAACAAAAAGUUAUUAAAAGGUUCUAAUUAAAAAACUAAACAAGAAACGGUUCUUAUAAUCUCUUGUCUCUUGUACAAAUGAGAGAAAAAGCCGCUUAAGUCAAAACUGAACCAAAACCGAACCAAGUCAAACCCGGUCUAAGCCGGAUAUUGAAGCCCCAACUCCACAUUCCAUGAGCCAACACCACAAUCCUUCAAUACAACCCUUCUUUUCUUCACAGGAACCACAUGGUAAACACGUGAAACCGGUUCAAGCCCAAGAGUCAGCUCCAAACCAACCUUUUCCUCUCCAUUCUCACCGGUUCGGUCAGCCGGCUUCAUUUUUCGGUCCAACUCCGGUUCAUCUCUAAAUAAGAUCAUCGAAGUUUCACUCUCGCUAUCUUUACUCUCUCCAUCCACCACCGCAACCGCCUCAGACUGGUGGCUAAUCGACGACUCAUGACUCACUGACCGGUUCAUCACCUCUUCAACCGGUUCAACCGAACCGGUCGGUUCAGUUGAACCGGAUUCAACUCCCUUGUUAUCAUUACUACUCUUUUCCUCUUCUUGUAUUUUCAGCUUGGCUAAACUCGACCGCUUACGCGACCGAGGCUUGACUCGUUGUUGAGUCAACUCAGUCGACGCGGCUGAGUUUUCCUCCUUCGACACAUGGCGGAUGUCAUAGGCUUUGAGUGGUGGGCCCCUCCCGUUAGCAGCUGCUUCCGAAGUUAUCGGCGUGAUCGGUGCGCCUUUCAAAACGGCUUCCACCGCGGCUUGACAUAGCUGCCAGCUUCCGGACCAUAAUAAACCGACUGAACCGUAAAUUGGGUUCACUAUUCGACCACAUGCUUCGUACAACAACGAACGAAAAAUUGCUGCAAAUUAAAAACAAAAAAUAUCAAUAACUUGUUUCUUGAUUAAAAAAAUUGACAAAAAAAAACACUUGUUUCUAUGUGUGUGCUCUCAGGUUCUAAAUAUAAGAAAAUUUCGUCUAUAAAUAUAUCAACUUUUAUUGAUCCAACUUUUUCUUAUAGAGAGAUAUGUGUGUCCAAUUGCAUGUUUAGAUAAACGGUGAGAUUUAACAAAACUAUAUAUUCUCAUAUAUGUAAUUUUAUUAAGGUCACCGUCAAUCUAAACAUGCACUAAAAUUGUAAAAUAAUUAUUAAUGUCACUUUUUACGAACCUGGACGAAGAUGUUCGGGACCAGCGUUAACAAGGUUCAUGAGACCAGCACGACCGUAGAAUUUGGCGAGAAACACGGUGGCAUUAGCCUGUGAUUCAGGGCUUUUGAUCCAUUGCAAACAAGGUCUUAUGCUACAGUUUUCACUGCAACCUUUUCUUAGUACUCUACAACCGUUGCAACUCAUCCGCAUUUUUAAUGAAAAUUUUUCAAAGAC